GUUGAUCCUGCCAGUAGUCAUAUGCUUGUCUCAAAGAUUAAGCCAUGCAUGUCUAAGUAUGAACAGCUAGACAGUGAAACUGCGGAUGGCUCAUUAAACCAGUUAUAGUUCGUGUGGCGAUCUUUUUACUCGGAUAACCAGUAGCAAAUCUAGAGCUAAUACGUGCUUACAUCCCGACUCCUGGAAGGGACGUACUUAUUAGAUAGAAGACCGACCGGGCCUCGUGCCCGCAUUGCGGUGACUCAUGAUAAUUCCACGAAUCGCAUGGCCUCAGUUCCGGCGAUAUGUCACGCGAGUUCCUGCCCUAUCAACUUUCGAUGGUAGGAUAUUGGCCUACCAUGGUGGUGACGGGUAACGGGGAAUCAGGGUUUGAUUCCGGAGAAAAGGCAUGAGAGACGGCCUUUAUAUCCAAGGAAAGCAGCAGGCGCGCAAAUUACCCAAUCCCGACACGGGGAGGUAGUGACAAUAAAUAACAAUACCGGCUUUAUUCAAGGCUGGUGAUUGGAAUGAGAACAAUCUAAAUCCCUUAUCGAGGAUCAAUUGGAGGGCAAGUCUGGUGCCAGCAGCCGCGGUAAUUCCAGCUCCAAUGGCGUAUAUAUAAGUUGUUGCAGUUAAAAAGCUCGUAGUUGGAUUUCGGGCGUCGGCUCCGCCGGUCCGCCGUCAGGUGUGCACUGGCGAGGGCCCGCCUUGCUGCCGAGGACGGGCUCCUGGGCUUGACUGUCCGGGACCCGGAUCCGGCGUGGUUACUGUGAGUAAAUUAGAGUGUUCAAAGCAGGCCUACGCUUGAAUACGUUAGCAUGAAUGACACGAUAGGACUCUGGCCUAUUGCGUCGGUCUGUGGGAAAGAGUAAUGAUUAACAGGGACGGUCGGGGGCAUUCGUAUUCCGUGGUCAGAGGUGAAAUUCUUGGAUUCACGGAAGACGCUCUUCCGCGAAAGCAUCUGCCAAGGACGUUUUCUUAAUCAAGAACGAAAGUUGGGGGCUCGAAGACGAUUAGAUACCGUCCUAGUCUCAACCAUAAACGAUGCCGACUAGAGAUCGGCGGGCGUUUUUAUCAGGACCCCGCUGGCAUCUUCCGAGAAAUCAAAGUUUUUGGGUUCCGGGGGGAGUAUGGCUCGCAAGACUGAAACUUAAAGGAAUUGACGGAAGGGCACCACCAGGCGUGGGGCCUGCGGCUUAAUUUGACUCAACACGGGGAAACUUACCAGGUCCAGACAUAGGUAGGAUUGACAGAUUGACAGCUCUUUCUUGAUUCUGUGGGUAGUGGUGCAUGGCCGUUCUUAGUUCGUGGGUUGCCUUGUCUCCUCAAUUGAGGUAACGAGCGAGACCCCGGCCUGCUAAAUAGCCACGGCCGGCAUCCCGUCGGCCGGGCGGCUUCUUAGAGGGACUAUCGGCGACUAGCCGAUGGAAGUGCGGGGCAAUAACAGGUCUGUGAUGCCCUUAGAUGUUCUGGGCCGCACGCGCGCCACACUGGUGCAAGCAACGAGCGCUUCCUUGGCCGAGAGGCUCGGGUAAUCUCGCAACCUGCACCGUGAUGGGGCUAGACUCUUGCAAUUAUCAGUCUUCAACGAGGAAUGCCUAGUAGGCGCGAGUCAUCAGCUCGCGUCGAUUACGUCCCUGCCCUUUGUACACACCGCCCGUCGCUCCUACCGAUUGGAUGUGCUGGUGAAGCGUUCGGACUGGCGGCGGACGGCGGUUUUCCGCCGGAAGCAGCCGGGAAAUCCGUUGAACCCUCCCAUCUAGAGGAAGGAGAAGUCGU
RNAcentral lists this ribosomal RNA (1758 nucleotides) under uncultured Trebouxiophyceae. RNAcentral's name for it is "SSU rRNA". It matches the Rfam family "Eukaryotic small subunit ribosomal RNA". The record is from RNAcentral. Lineage: Eukaryota; Viridiplantae; Chlorophyta; Trebouxiophyceae.